UACAGAGGGUGCAAGCGUUGCUCGGAUUUACUGGGCGUAAAGCGUACGCAGACGGCCACGCAGGUCGGGUGUGAAAGCCCGGGGCUCAACCCCGGAAUUGCAUUCGAAACCAUGUGGCUCGAGGAUGGGAGAGGAGAGUGGAAUUCCCGGUGUAGAGGUGAAAUUCGUAGAUAUCGGGAGGAACACCAGUGGCGAAAGCGGCUCUCUGGCCCAAACCUGACGUUCAGGUACGAAAGCGUGGGGAGCAAACAGG
RNAcentral lists this ribosomal RNA (253 nucleotides) under uncultured bacterium. RNAcentral describes it as "partial 16S ribosomal RNA". It matches the Rfam family "Bacterial small subunit ribosomal RNA", at positions 524 to 776 of the family's 1533-position model. The record is from RNAcentral.